UUUUUUUUUUUUUUGUUAGCACCCAUGUCCUGGGACCGUGUGUGACUGCAUCGUUAAGCGUGCGAGCCCUCUUUUGAAGUGUUCUGCUGCAAUUUCGGCAGAUUUUCAAGUCGUACUCACAUGAGGCACAUUCGAACUGUGCUUGAGCCCAAUUGACACCUUCGAUCCAAAACCUUUGACAAGUGCUCAAAUGUAUAAUGGUGUUAUGUAGGCACACUUCGGCAGACUCCGCUCUCUUUUGGCCUGCUCCAGGAAGUGAUGUAGACGUGGCCUGUAAUUACUGUCGUGCCACCACAGGGAGAACCUUACUUAAUAGAAAUCAAUAUGAAUCCUCGUAAUAAUACGCAAAGACCAAAAAGUUCACGGACCGCUCGGCUACCGCAUGUAAUUUACGCAUCAUUAAUGAACUCCGAGUGCUCUGCAUUGCAAGCGGUUUUAGAGUAGUUGGACGGAUCUUUCUAGACCCGCAGAAUAUUGUCUUCUGUGAAAAUAAAGCACCAAACCGAGAGAGGGAGUUUGCGUGGCUCUUUAGCCAUUGGGCGGGGGUUGUUUUUAUUUUUUUUUCCAUUUGUUUGUAAUCAACAGUAGGACAUGUGUUGGUUUCCCCCCCAAAAUGGGUCGGGAGGGGUGAGCUUUUUGUGAAAUGCGUGUCAACCAGAAAGCAGUGAAUUUGAUGGUUAUUUGUUGCUGUUUUGACAUCCUCAAACUGUAAAAUAAAAAGACUAAAAAGGGCUUUUGACGGUUAAAAAAAACGUAGCUCUACAACUAAGAAUUGAACAUCAGUGUCUUUUUUUUCAUGACGUUUAUCAUCUUGUGGGGUGUCUAAACACUUGCGACUCGCAUCAUGUGGACAUUUCUCGCUCUUAUAAUCGAUGUGACAGGCCAGCAUUUACCCCCUAAUCUCUGUCUUCUACUCCAAAGCUGUGCUGAUAUCAAAUCCCCAGCAACGCAACGCUCCCAUCUACAGGCAUCUGUCGGUCAUUACAGUGGUUUACAAACCAGAAUUUCACAGGUGAGCUGAGCGAGUCCACCUUUCACGCCUACUCGUUGAAAAAUGUACUUGACAAUACUGUACAUGUAAGAACACAUUUUCAUCCAUUUGACGAAAAUAAACGUCUUGCGUCAGUGAGCGAAUUCAUGAAAUCGCUCGACUCUGUCAUGAUGACACAACAACAACAAAAAAACCCACCAUAGGCACGGUUGGAUUGGCCUCACGCGAGUACGGCCUUCGAAGGAUGAGCCGCAGCGCGUGUGUGUAGAUGUCAAACGCUUGUCACGUUCUGGACAAGGAUCGCCGACGAACGAAAGGAAGACUUUUGAGGUUGUGCUGUUUGUCAUAAGUGUACUUCUGGGGUCGCUAGCAUUUUCAUGUGUCAUACUGUAACGCAAACGUAACUUAACUGCGGACAGGAAAGCUAAUUGUGUGGGAACGACUGCCAUUCAAGUGAGCUCUGAAAAUCCCUUUGAGAGUUUAUUCUAUAUCCUUCAUAUCCAGCUUCGUUUUAUGACCUAGUAGACAGUUUGUCAUAACUAGUAUUCUGCGCACAAGGUGAUAAUCUAUAUAUUUUUUACCCACUACUAGUCAAAUUUAAAAUCAAACAUAUUGAGUAAAUGCUGUUCCGUACCCUUGAAACCACAUUAAGGUCUAUGUACUUGUACUUUGCCCUAAAACAAUUGCGUGUACUAUUAGUAUAACUGUCUUACUAGUCCCACCCCCUCCUGCCACUAGUGCUACUUUUGGCUGACUAAUACAACUUCAAGACGGGAUGAAGGCCAAAAUAAGUCACUUGUGUCAGUUUUAUUGUCGCGUAACAUUUUUUUACUAGUAAGGACAAAGAGGCUACUACAGUAGUACAUUGAUCUUAAGCUGGAUAUCAAGUAUGUGGAAAAAAAUGCUCAAAAGGCUUUUCAUGUGAUGGCUGCAUUAACAGCAAAACAAUGCAGGGUGUUUUUUUCUGUUUGUUUUUUCCUUCACCCUGUUUUAAUCUCACACAGCAAAAUGAUGGACUACAUGUUUUCUCAGCUACUUUUUGCUGUUUGUUUGCUGUUUUGAUUUUGUUUGUGCGUGUUUGUUGAAGGGGAAAAAACAUUUGCCAGCUGUCUGUGAGGCAAGGACUAGAAUCAUAGGCAACCACUUGUUAUUUCAAGCAGUGGCAAAAAGAAAAAAAGUAUUGUCUGUCAUUUUUGUUUUGUUUUUUGGGGAUGGAAGGACUGGUUGCAAAGGCAACAUUCAGGGGUAUCAGUAGUGAAUGUAUAAUUAGUUUCUUUUUUUGUCUUAUUUUUCACAGUUGGUGAGCUGUGACUGAAGGUCUAGACAACAGAACACAACCAAUUAAUAAAUUUCAAAAAAAUG
This is a long non-coding RNA of Hippocampus zosterae (dwarf seahorse), 2353 nucleotides long. RefSeq lists it as uncharacterized. Lineage: Eukaryota; Metazoa; Chordata; Actinopteri; Syngnathiformes; Syngnathidae. The transcript is spliced from 2 exons. The record is from RefSeq and is a predicted model, not a curated record.